GAAAAUUUGUACCAAAAAGACAAAAAAAAAAAAUGGGAAAAUGAAAAAUCUCAACUAUCCUUCUCACAGGACUCAAAAAUCUCUGUUGCUCUUCUCCUCGCUCUUACCUUUCUGCCUCCAUCCACUUUAAUGGCGUCCGCUAGCGCUUUAACUGCUCAGAUUUCGAACUUGCACAGUAUCAAUGACCGGAAAAGCGCUACUAGCGUAUCCUCAAUCUCCUUCUGUUCUGUUUGUGCUAUCUGAUAGAGACAAUUGCAAAUCCAUUUCUUGUGGCUUCUUCUCCUUUUCAGUUUAUUUGGAGGAAAGAAGGAUAAUGAUGAUGGCCAAUCAAAGACAUUUCCAUUUAUCAGUACUCUUCGAACAUGCACAAGUAUUUAAUCAUGAGUUUGAUGGUUACUGUGAAGGUGAACUAAUAAAGGUUACACUUUCUGGAAACCAGCAACCUGUACGCACUGAGAUAACUGAGGCUGCAAUGGAGCUAGGACCAGAAGCGACUCAAGGCGACACCAACAUGGCAACCAAGGCAUCCAUGGCACCCAUCUAGGCGACCAAGGCACCUGGACGUGUAGGCGACGCCUCGACAACUAAAGUUAUAUUUUUUAAGCUCUAUCUUUAUUUCCAGUCAAGUACCAAUGCCUUGGCCAACUACUCCUGCAUGCAACCCUAAUCGGAUUCAGAGCUCUUGAAAUUUCAUAACUGAAGCUCUAGCUCUUAGUUACAGAGGUAUACAAGGAUGCAAACCAGAAGAGGAUAAUCUUAUUGGUUCUGUUUUCUAUGAGGCUAAAGGAUGUAAUUCUGAAGGGAAGGAAGCCCCGCUGUCUACUUGGAGAGUUGACAAGAGUUAGAAAUACGAAGGAUUCUUGAAGGACUACACAAGCAAGACGAUUAAGGAUCAAAGCCACCACCAUCUGGACUAAUGCUGAUGAGGUGCUAAAUUUAUUACAGCAUGAGAGUACAAAACUGGCCGUGGGAGGUGUUUCCUUCUCUAUUCAACUUCAAGAAUUAUCUUUAGGGAGAAGUUCUUCAAAUUGGUAAAAAAGGUUUAGUGUUUUGUUCCUGUUGCCCACCAUCUAACCAGAAAGGCUAGAAAGAACAGUAUUUUGAAUGCCGUAUAAGAUACUAUUCCCUGUAAUCUCCUUAAAUGAAUUUUCUCUUUUCUUAUUAAAAAAAUAAAAUAAAAUUGAAAUCA
RNA transcript from Macadamia integrifolia, 1189 nucleotides. It is a transcript of the gene named nucleoid-associated protein At2g24020, chloroplastic-like, with no coding region annotated. The record is from RefSeq and is a predicted model, not a curated record. NCBI's taxonomy places the organism in Eukaryota, Viridiplantae, Streptophyta, Magnoliopsida, Proteales, Proteaceae. The transcript has 8 exons.